GACGAACGCUGGCGGCGUGCCUAAUACAUGCAAGUCGAACGGAAAGGUCCUGCCUUGGUGCGGUGCUCGAGUGGCGAACGGGUGAGCAACCCGUGGGUAACGUGUCCCUGAUGUUGAGAGAACCUCAGGCAACUGGGGCACAUACCGGAAAGGAGCUCCUGCUGAAUGGUGGGGGUUGGAAAGUUUCGGUGGUUGGGGAUGGAAUCGCGGCGUAUCAGCUUGAUGGUGGGGUAGUGGCUUAGCAAGGCCAUGAAGGGUAGCAGGGCUGAGCGGGUGACCGGCCACGUUGGGACGGGAAUGCGGCCCAGACUCCUACGGUAGGCAGCAGUGGGGUAUAUUGUACAAUGGGCGGAGGCCUAAUGCAGCAACGCCGCGUGGGGUAUGACGGCCUUCGGGUUGUAUUCCACUGUCGCCUGUGACGAAGCGUUAGUGACGGUAAUGGGUAAAGAAGCACCGGCUAACUACGUG
This 468-nucleotide ribosomal RNA is filed under the name uncultured bacterium. Its description in RNAcentral is "partial 16S ribosomal RNA". It matches the Rfam family "Bacterial small subunit ribosomal RNA", at positions 28 to 507 of the family's 1533-position model. The record is from RNAcentral.